Molecule: ribosomal RNA, 277 nt
Filed under: uncultured soil bacterium
Lineage: Bacteria
Description: partial 16S ribosomal RNA
Rfam family: Bacterial small subunit ribosomal RNA
Source: RNAcentral
AGAUUGAACGCUGGCGGCAUGCCUAACACAUGCAAGUCGAACGGGAGUAGCAAUACUCUAGUGGCGGACGGGUGAGGAAUACGUAGGAAUUUGCCCUUAAGUGGGGGAUAACCCGGGGAAACCCGGAUUAAUACCGCAUGACCUCGAAAGAGCAAAGUGGGGGAUCGCAAGACCUCACGCUUUUGGAGAAGCCUACGUCGGAUUAGCUAGUUGGUGAGGUAAUGGCUCACCGAAGGCGACGAUCCGUAACUGGUCUGAGGAGGAUGAUCAGUCACGA